UACUAUGAAAAUGAACUAUGUUUGCCUGUGAUCAGGGAUGUAUUCAUUCCGCCGAUUCUGUUGAAAAAAAAAAUUAAAUGGAAGCAAACGGAACGAAACGGGGAUAAACAUACCUGAAUUUGUCAUCAUUACAUAUCACAGGAUGAAAUCACAAACAGUUAGAAUGGAAUACCAUCUCUAUUAUAAAGCUUAGUAAAAAAUGUCUUCACCAAAAUUAGUAUUGAGGGAUUCAGAUGGUUUCAUUCUGACAUACUUUGAUGACGCAGAAAAGGUACAAAUACUCUACUGUAAUAGGUCAUUCUUAAAUGUCUCAUUGUAAGUCGUUCCCAGGUCGAUGUUAUGUUCCAUAAAUGAGCAUCUCAAAAUAACCUCAUACCAGUUGAACUGUAGGAAUGUAUCAUAUUCUCUUGUGAUUGGUUCUCCCAGUGAGGAGGGUCUCAUGCAAAACUCUCCCGUCCUCCAUCUUUAUUAAUGUCUCUGUUGAAGGCUUUUUCUGCUGAGGACUGUCUAAACUCCCUUUAGAGAACUACACAGAUCACCAUGUUUCCUACCACAGGAAUGCUCUUACUGACAGUCUAUCUAACAGGUGUUUAUGGUCAGACAUUGACUGAGUCUGGACCAGUAGUUAAAAAGCCUGGAGGAUCACACAAACUGACCUGUACAACCUCUGGGUUCACAUUCAGUAGCUAUGGGAUGAACUGGGUCAGACAGGCUCCUGGGAAAGGACUGGAGUGGGUGUCCUAUAUUAGCAGUGGUAGUAGUUACAUCUACUAUUCCCAGUCUUUUCAGGGUCGGUUCACCAUCUCCAGAGACAAUAGCAAAGAGCAGGUGUAUCUCCAGUUGAACAAUCUGAAGACUGACGACUCUGCUGUUUAUUAUUGUGCAGUGCUGUACAAAAACUGAUUAACUGUCACGCCUUGGUCUUAGUAUUUAGUGUUUUCUUUAUUUAUUUGGUCAGGCCAGGGUGUGACAUGGGUUAUUGUGGUGUGUUUUUGUCUUAGGAGUUUUGUGGGGUGUCUACGUAGUCUAUGGCUGCCUGAGGCGGUUCUCAAUCAGAGUCAGGUGAUUAUCGUUGUCUCUGAUUGGGAACCAUAUUUAGGCAGCCAUAUUCGUGGGUGAUUGUUCCUGUCUUUGUGUUUGCACCGGAUAGGGCUGUUUCGGUUUUCAUUAUUUCAUUUCAUUAUUUUUGUAGUUUCUGCAUGAAUAGGUUUUCCUUCAUUAAAAUAUAUCAUGAAUCAUCA
Molecule: non-coding RNA, 1241 nt
Organism: Oncorhynchus keta (chum salmon)
Lineage: Eukaryota; Metazoa; Chordata; Actinopteri; Salmoniformes; Salmonidae
Source: the annotation of a RefSeq genome assembly